This 253-nucleotide ribosomal RNA is filed under the name uncultured bacterium. Its description in RNAcentral is "partial 16S ribosomal RNA". It matches the Rfam family "Bacterial small subunit ribosomal RNA", at positions 524 to 776 of the family's 1533-position model. The record is from RNAcentral.
UACGGAGGGUGCGAGCGUUGUCCGGAAUCACUGGGCGUAAAGGGCGCGUAGGCGGCGCGGGCAGUCAACGGUGAAAGCUUGGGGCUCAACCCCGAGUCGGCCGUCGAUACUCCCGGGCUUGAGCACUGUAGAGGCAGGUGGAAUUCCGGGUGUAGCGGUGGAAUGCGUAGAGAUCCGGAAGAACACCGGUGGCGAAGGCGGCCUGCUGGGCAGUAGCUGACGCUGAGGCGCGAAAGCUAGGGGAGCAAACAGG